RNAcentral lists this ribosomal RNA (408 nucleotides) under uncultured bacterium. RNAcentral's name for it is "partial 16S ribosomal RNA". It matches the Rfam family "Bacterial small subunit ribosomal RNA", at positions 28 to 526 of the family's 1533-position model. The record is from RNAcentral.
GACGAACGCUGGCGGCGUGCUUAACACAUGCAAGUCGAACGAAGUGGCGAACGGGUGAGUAACGCGUAAUCAACCUGCCCUUCAGAGGGGGAUAACAGUGGGAAACGACUGCUAAUACCGCAUACGGAAGGAGGGGAUUGCGGCUGAUGGGCUAGUUGGGGGGGUAACGGCCCACCAGGGCGAGGAUCUGUAGCCGGUCUGGGAGGAGGAACGGCCACAUUGGGACUGGGACACGGCCCAGACUCCUACGGGAGGCAGCAGGGGGGAAUCUUCCGCAAUGGACGAAAGUCUGACGGAGCAACGCCGCGUGAGUGAUGACGGCCUUCGGGUUGUAAAGCUCUGUUAAUCGGGACGCGGUACCGGAAUAGAAAGCCACGGCUAACUACGUGCCAGCAGCCGCGGUAAUAC